This is a transfer RNA of Ovis aries (sheep), 72 nucleotides long. It matches the Rfam family "tRNA". Rfam says of the family: Transfer RNA (tRNA) molecules are approximately 80 nucleotides in length. Their secondary structure includes four short double-helical elements and three loops (D, anti-codon, and T loops). The record is from Rfam. Lineage: Eukaryota; Metazoa; Chordata; Mammalia; Artiodactyla; Bovidae.
UCCCUGGUAGCUCAGACGGUAAAGCGUCUGCCUGCAAUGUGGGAGACCUGGGUUCAAUCCCCUGGUCGGGAA